AGCUCUUAUGCUCCUUAUUCUAGAGGUAAUCCUUAUGUUGCUCCUACAUGCCAUAUUUGUGGAUCUCAGGGCCAUUCACCCGCUGAAUGUCAGCGUGGUUACUCUCACCCUCCCGAUUGUUAUGGCAUGAGCUUCGCCCCACAGCCUAGCUCAUACCAAAACAAUUACACACAUGGGUGGCCUGAAAACCAGAAUAUGUCAUAUAGGAGCAAUAACCCUGAGAUCUCAUCGUUUGCCUCUAGUUAUCCAAUGCAGGGAUUUAGGUAUGAAGAGGAGAGCCACAACUAUGCUCCACAACAGAUUUAUUCAGCUCCUACUCAUAUACCUCAACACCAGGACAUGUUGCCAAUGGAGUUAAAUGGUCCUCCAUUUGGUCAACCAACAUCUUCAACACAAGUGCCCACACAAGAUGACUUUGAUGAUAUAGACAAGCUCACAUUGCUUGGUCUCGAGUUCACUUCGAGUGCCGAAGAUGAUCCAAUUAGGCCGGUGAUACUAGAGGAAAUGAAGAAGAUUAAGAGUGGAAAGGAGCUAGUGGAAGAAGUAAGGAAGAUUGAGAAGAACAUCAACGCUGUCAGUACUAUCUCUUCCCUCCUUGAGCUGAGUGUUGCCGGGAUAUCCCUUGAGGUGUGUGAGGUUCCAACACCUUCACAUUUAGCUGAGCAAGAUAGCGAGAGUCCAUAGGAAGAGAUACUUCAGAUCCAAGAAGAAAUUCUCGAAGCCAAAGCACAAGAUGAUCCAGAGCUCGAAUAACAAAGUGAUCAAGUUGAAGACUCAUCAUCUAUUACUCUUGAAGAAGCAAAAGAAGUUGAUGUGAUUGAAGAUGAAGAACCAGAAACGCAUUUUCCCAUCGUCAUACAGGAGCGUGAUUUAGCAGGUUUAUCCAAUCCUCUUGAUGACAUGCUUCCUUAUGAGAUCUUUGCCGCUACUUUCCAUUGUGUUAUACCAUCAAUUAAGCUAGACUUGAAAAAUUAUUUGCUUGGACAUGAUCAUACAUACAUUGUUGGUGGCAUUGCUCUCAUUCCUGAUGAUGACACUUAUUUUCCUUAUGCUAGUCCUAUGCUUAAUGAAACAUAUUAUUCCCACGCUAGUCUUGAGCUUAAUGAUAAAUUUCAUCCUCAUGUUAGUGUCGACCUUGCUGAUUUCUACCAUCCUAAACAUGUGCUUUAUAGCUAUGCUUAUGUAAUUGGAUAUUCGAUUGAUGACUUGGAGGGUAUUAUCCCUACCACUUGCAUUGUCUCUUUUGUUGAGAGUGCUUUCAGGUUUUUGCUUGUGCACGAUCCAUUACAUGUUGACCAGGUUCGAGGUGACAUUCCUUGGGACCCUGGUGGACUCAGAGCAUGGGGAUGAGGAGAAGCAAGGGGGCACACACGAGGAAUGGAGAAGCUGGAGCAGGCAUGAGGAUAGGGAAGCAAAAGGAGAGGAGUCACAAUGCACGAGGAAGCAAAGGAGAAGAGUUGUAGUUUAGAGAGUGUCGAGCGAGUGCUACUUCCUAUAAAAACCCGAAAAGGGUGAAAAGGCCCAAAAUCCUUCUCUAAUGGAGAGAGUGUCAAGAAACUGUGGUUGCUCUAAUUCACGGAGGGACCCGGCCGUGAAGAAAAGAAGUAACCAUAGGGGCCAAGCUAAAGUUGGAGGGAUCAUCUUGUGAAGAAAGAAGAGAAGUGGAAGGGCAAAAGAGCAAAAGUGGCAGAUCAGAGGAGGAGGAUCAAAUCCCUAGCGGCAACCAUCGAUCCCCUUCGGGCCUGGCCACAUCUCCUUCUCUUUCCCCUGCCUCCUUCUCCAGCACAGGCCGCCGCCACGGCCAGGCCGGCGUGGGGCGCGCCACCAGCUCCACUUCGCCGCCGCACCUCCGCACUCCAUCCAUCCAUUCGCUGCACC
Long non-coding RNA from Triticum dicoccoides, 1878 nucleotides. RefSeq lists it as uncharacterized. The record is from RefSeq and is a predicted model, not a curated record. The transcript is spliced from 2 exons. NCBI's taxonomy places the organism in Eukaryota, Viridiplantae, Streptophyta, Magnoliopsida, Poales, Poaceae.